Molecule: non-coding RNA, 28 nt
Filed under: Homo sapiens (human)
Lineage: Eukaryota; Metazoa; Chordata; Mammalia; Primates; Hominidae
Source: RNAcentral
CACCCCAACCAGGACAACCGGACCGUCU